Molecule: non-coding RNA, 3895 nt
Organism: Taeniopygia guttata (zebra finch)
Lineage: Eukaryota; Metazoa; Chordata; Aves; Passeriformes; Estrildidae
Source: RefSeq, a predicted model, not a curated record
UCGCCGGCGCCAUUUUGUGCGCGGCUCUUUCCCAUUUUAGGCCGCGGGGAGAGGGAGAAGCGGGAGCGGCUGUGGGAUCGGUGGAAGGAACGGCCGGGAGGCUCAUCCUGAGGUCUGCGGAGGCGGCACCGCGUCUCUUCCCGGCUAUAUGGCCCCGUCGCUGCGUCUUGGUGGCGGCCGCGCUUGAGGCGGCGCCGGCGCAGGAGCGGGCCCGACCGGAGGCGGAAGUGGAGCGGCCGCCAUGGAGGCGCCGGGACCGCCCGCCGUGAGGGCGCGGAGCCGGCGGGGCGGCCCGAGCGCCCCGCAGAGACACGCCCGGGGUGCAGCAUAAAAUUCCUGCCCCUGUGGAUGUAUCAGUUACAGCCAGGACAAUUAGGAGGCUCAUGGCACAUCACCCACCAAUGCAAAAGGACUUUAUUUCUGUUUAGCCAGUGAGCAGGAGAGGUGACUUGUUCUUUUAUGGUAUUUUAAGUACCUAAGAAUGCCCAGUGGGCAGCUCAGCACAGCACAAAUGUCCUCACACAGAUUAAGGAUGAUUUCUGUUGUCAUGCAAUCAGAGGACUGUGCUUUUGGCAAGGCAGGAAAAAAAGUCUAAUUUUGGUUUAAAUAUCUUUUCAUUGGAAUAGGAAAUUCAAGACUCAAGAAUUACUCCAUGGUACUGAAAUUUUUCAUCCUAAAUAUUAAGCAGCUCUGAAACUUGAAGCCAUCCUGGUUGUGCUGGAUCUUUGCACUGUGCCCCGUCCCCCUAUGCAAACCCUUACAGGAAAACUGGGAAUGAGUGGAAGAAAUGAGCAAAGAAGGUCACUUUGGUGAGCCUUUUUAUCAUGGCCCGGUGUGUUAACUGCACAGAGUUAACAACUGAGAAGCUCUAGAGUGGGACAAUCACAGGCUGCAAGUUCAUGUUGGUGACGAUAGUUACAGCUAUCCUGGGGAAGUCACGCAGUGUUGCAAAACAACGACACAGCACUGCAGGGAAGCUGAAGAUCUGUGCAGCAGCUUUAAUUUAGAUGUGGCAAAGGAUUCUGUCACCACCUGCAAUCAAGUGAUCAGCCUGUCUUUCAAAACUUGAAGUAGGUGCUUGAAGUCAAAUGAGAAUUUAGUUACUGUUCUGGGUAGCACUGCUCACAGAGCUGCUGAAGGAGAGUGUUCUUACAUAUUUUUCAAAAUUACACUUUGGAUGCCAGCAGUAAAGGUGAAAGAUUACAUUUUUACAUCCACCUGCCAUUAGUUCUCUUUCAGGGUUUCUGAAUAACAUUUUUCAUGGCAGGCACAAGCAGUGCUUAGUACCAGAAAUGUAUCUUGUGCAUGUACAGGCUGCAUCAGUACAUUAAGCAUUCCAGUACUGUAAACCUAAUUUUUUAAACUCUGUGCUUUUUAACCGGCUUCCAAAUUAUCUGCAGCAUGCAGCCUUUUUUCUUGGCUUCUGAGGUGGAAACCAUAUUCCUGAUGUAAAUUCUUUAUCUCUGAAAAUUUUGAUCUUUCAAGGGGAGAGAAGAUGGUUUUUUUACAGGAAUGAAGGAAUAGUUUUGUUAGUAAGUACAGUCAGUUACCCAUCAACAGAUUGAAUAUAUUUUAUGUUCUUGAAAUAAACUUAAAUGGAAAGCAUUUAAACUUACACCUGAAUCUCUGAAUAGUCUGUAUUCUUCCUAACAAAGUCAAAUCUCUAGUUUAUAAUUACUGCUGCUUUAGUAAACUCCCAUCUAAAUCAAAUGUACAGGGUAAAACUUGAAAGCAAAACCCAUGUGGGUUUGGGAGUGGCAAUUACUUAUUUCAUUGCUAUGAGAACCAUUAGGAGAAAAAGUCUUUGAAGCUCUGCAUGUUGUAUUUGAAGAACCUUCCUGCAGUCUUCUGAGUAAAUUAAGGUUCUGAAAUAGAAGUUACUCCUCCAUAAAUAUUUAACUUCUAAGAUCUACUUUGUAGCAACAGUGUGGUCGCUUUUUCAGCCUUUUGUGAUGCCACACUGGGAGGAAAUGUUUACUGAAGAGGUGUCUAAUGCUGCCCAUAGCUAAGAUGUGACUUGCUGCUGACACUGGAGAGCUGAAAUGGGUGUUUCACUUUGUUACAGACAACUAACUCUGGCAGGAUUAAUUUCUUUACCUUUGUUAGAUUCAGGGUCUUCUUCUUUGUCAGUAGUUUGAGUGAUCUGUCAUGGACAAUCUGAAGUAAGAAUCUUCCCUGUUUAUCCUUUUAUCCUACCUGUUGCUAGUUUAUAUCUUAGACUAAUUUUUUCCCACUGCUUCCUGGGAAAACUUUUUGCUGCAGCACUAGCCAUGUAAAAAAAAAGUACAAGAAGGAAAUAAAGGUCUUAUGAGCCAUGUUCUCAUACACCAGUGUCUGAAAAAUCUUGUGCAAGUGGCUUGCAGAGUUCAGACUUUUACUAAAAUGCAUCUUUCCAUACUUGUGGAGAUAAAGAACAAAGUUUAAUACUGAUGGUGAGUCCUUGGACAUGGUCCACCUGCCAGAGCAGGGGUGUCUCAGGCUUGCCAGCACUGAUAAGCUGGUGAUUAAAAUGCUUUAUUGUUACAGAUGCAGAGUGUAGAGCAACGUGAUCCAGCAGGAUCAGGACUGUGGAUUCACAGUCCUUCCUUGUAACCCUCCAGAAGCACUGUGUGUAUCCCUGAAGUGUGUGACACUGCAGUCCGUGUGUCCCUGCCAGCCUGGCACAAAGAGAAGCAGCAGCACUGCUGUUCAGCCUGGCUGCUCAGCAAAAGAAAGCUGGUGAGGGCAGUGGAUACAUGGCCUUUCUUCCAGGGCUUUUGCCUGUCCAAAUUAUUUCAAUCACUGCAGGUUAAUUUACUUUUUAGCCUCAGCUGACAAGACUGCAGUUGGUCAGUAUUGACUUUUAAGUAAAAAGUAUUAAUGCCUUCAGUCUUUUGAAUUAAAUAUUUUGAGCUGUAAGUAGCUGUUGGUGAGAAUCUACAGUUCAGCCAGUGAUUAAAUUCUGAAUUUUUUUUUCCUGCUCAGCCAUCUUUUCCAAGCUAUUUUUCAUUUGUCUGUGUUUUUUGGAGGAUAUUAUUCCAGGUAGCUCAUUUCCAGGUGGCCAGGAAGCUGGCUGCCCCAUCAACACUUAAGCUGUUAAUUAAUUGCCAGACUGUGCUGUUUGCUGGAGUUGGUACCUCAGGGAUGUGCUUUUCCCUGCAGUGCUCCUGUGUAGUGUCACCUCAUUAGCUACAGCUAUAAACAGAGCUGUGUUGUGUGACAUUCAAAACUCUGACAGAGCAGAAGACAUGGCUUUUUAGAGGGUUUUGUUAUUCUGGAUCAAUGGAAGAUGUAUUUGUGGGAGUGAUCUGUCAUGUCCUUGCAAGCAGCACAACAGGAUACACUGGUAUGAGGCACUUGGCUGGGGGAAGCAGCUCUUGUUAAACCAACUGAUGGAAAACACAUUUAGCUACACUUUAGUUCUGCCUCAAACAGCAUUUCAGAUUUGUUUCUGUUCCUGAUGUACACAGGAAAGUGUCUGGGGGAAAUAGGCUCUCACUUGGUGGGCUUUGGUGACUGGGAGCAGCUGGGGUUGGAACUGAAACUGAGCUUUGAACAUUCUGCUAAAGUAGCUGGUGCUUCCUGUGCUGCUGUUGUCACCUGUUAAUGCAGUCUCACGGAAUAGCUCUGUUCUUUCUGAAAGUAAUGAAAGGAGCAGAUUUCCUGCUUUUCUAGAAUCCCAACAAACAAGAUAAAAUUUAACUUACAAAUAUUUAGGCAUCACUUGGGGUGGGUUUUGGGGGUGUGUGUUUGUGUUUGGAAUGCAUCCGUUUUUUGGUGAAUUCACUAUAAUUGGGCCUACUCUUAAUCUGGUGAAAUUGGAAUCCUAAUGACUGAUUUUGGAUAUGCAGACAGUAUGUGUACCAAAUUAUAUCUAAUUUUAUGGAGCAAUAAAGCACACCAUGUUCUUUCUAAA